Molecule: long non-coding RNA, 961 nt
Organism: Pipra filicauda (Wire-tailed manakin)
Lineage: Eukaryota; Metazoa; Chordata; Aves; Passeriformes; Pipridae
Exons: 2
Source: RefSeq, a predicted model, not a curated record
AGGAACGUGACGGUGAUGCCGCUGGAGCGCGGCCAGCUCGGGUCUGUGCCCGUGGUGUUCCCUGUGGCACAGCGUCCGACGGCUGGAGACAGAGCAGCUGCUGUAUGUGGAGACCACUCGCACCCACAGUGAUUGCUCCAGAGAGUGGCUUUCCUGUCGCGUUGUUCCAGUUGGCUGCAAGGAAGGUGCCAGACCGAUGCACUUAUAGACAACGCUGCUCAAGGCUGCUCCUUCAAGAGGGACGUUCCCCUUCCUUUGCCUGCAGGGCUGUGGGAUCCUGCUGGACUCCAGAGGGACCUGUGGUGCCCGAGGACUGGCUGGUUGGAUGCACAGAGCACCGUGAGCGGGUUGGAUUUGGGCAGGCAAACCCCUCUGCCUGGCCCUACCUCCUGGCAACGAGGUGGUGUCAGCUCUGGCACAACUUCUGGGGCUGGAGGUACCAUCCUGCUGCCUACUCCAGUUGUCCAGCCCCAGGGAUUUCUGCUGGGCCUCCCAAGGGUGUUUAAAAUAAAAAAAAAAAAUACAAAAAAAAAAAAUCACCUUUUUCAACCUUUUCUUGGCCAGCAUGAUGGAGGUGAUUGCAUUUGCUCUUGUAGCGUGCCAAGGGAGGCCCCCUUCAGGAAGCUGAUGGGGGUAGGAGCCUGAUUAGGACUAAUUUUGAACUUAAAAUUGUCCCUCCUCCAUACCUUUUUUGCAUAUUUCAAACAACCAGACCCAUAUUAGAAAAAGAGUGUAGGGAAAAAAUAAUCCUGUGAUCCAUGCAUAUCCUGACUGGAACUCAGUUCAUUCUUUCUGAAUCUGGCUCCCAUACCCUUUUUCAUACAGAUUUACAUUCCUACAAGAGGAUACAUUCCUACCAUACAUUCUGUACAUGUUACAAUCCAGAUGUUGUUAGCUUCACAAUAAAAUAAAUAUAUUUACAGAAGAAAAAAAAAGAAUAAAUAAUUUAUGAAAAAAAUCA